This 744-nucleotide ribosomal RNA is filed under the name uncultured Desulfuromonadales bacterium. Its description in RNAcentral is "bacterial SSU rRNA". It matches the Rfam family "Bacterial small subunit ribosomal RNA", at positions 94 to 823 of the family's 1533-position model. Lineage: Bacteria; Pseudomonadati; Thermodesulfobacteriota; Desulfuromonadia; Desulfuromonadales. The record is from RNAcentral.
AGCGGCGUACGGGUGAGUAACGGGUGGAUAACCUACCUCCGGAUGGGGGAUAACGGCUGGAAACGGCCGCUAAUACCGCAUACGGUUGCUGAAUCCUCGGAUUCGGCAAAGAAAGGGGCCUCAAAGCCUCGUCGGGAGAUGGGUCCGCCUUCGAUUAGCUAGUUGGUAGGGUAACGGCCUACCAAGGCGAUGAUCGAUAGCCGAACUGAGAGGUUGAUCGGCCACACUGGAACUGAGACACGGUCCAGACACCUACGGGUGGCAGCAGUAGGGAGUAUUGCGCAAUGGGCGAAAGCCUGACGCAGCCACGCCGCGUGGAUGAUGAAGGCCUUCGGGUCGUAAAGUCCUUUUAUGAGGGAAGAACAGUCCGGUGAGGAAAUGCUCCGGAUUUGACGGUACCUCAGGAAUAAGCCACGGCUAACUCUGUGCCAGCAGCCGCGGUAAUACAGAGGUGGCUAGCGUUGUUCGGAAUUACUGGGCGUAAGGGGAGCGCAGGCGGCCAAACAAGUCUGGAGUGCAAGCCCGGGGCUCAACCCCGGAAUUGCUUUGGAUACUGUAUGGCUUGAGUACGUCAGAGGUGAGCGGAAUUCCAGGUGUAGCGGUGAAAUGCGUAGAUAUCUGGAGGAACAUCCGUGGCGAAAGCGGCUCACUGGGACGACACUGACGCUGAGGCUCGAAAGCGUGGGGAGCGAACGGGAUUAGAUACCCCGGUAGUCCACGCUGUAAACGUUGUGCACUAGGUGU